Molecule: long non-coding RNA, 15729 nt
Organism: Lagopus leucura (white-tailed ptarmigan)
Lineage: Eukaryota; Metazoa; Chordata; Aves; Galliformes; Phasianidae
Exons: 5
Source: RefSeq, a predicted model, not a curated record
CGGCUCUCACACACAGGGCUGCGGCCUUCGGAGGAGCUCGGCCGUGUCGCGGCCCGUUCGUCCUGCCCGGGCUUGGGCAGCGCUCAGCGGCACCAUCUGAUCGGCUUCCGUGCCGGAUGCGGCCAGGGGUUGGACUCCGUGCCCCGAUGUGUGCGGAAGAUGCAACCUCGGCUGUUCGGCGAUUGCGUCGUUCGAACGGCCCAUUAUAUACCCGUAUGCAGACACGAGGCUGCUGGGGCCCUUCAGUUUAGGUCUCUGAACACUCCUCCAAAGCAUGGCUGCGCGCUGGCUGCUUUAUGGAAACGGCCACCUUCAGUUCAGUGGUGUUGAAGGGACCUGAAAGGUAGCACUGAAAGGACUGGAAGGAACUGCGGGUGCUGGCGACGAGGAGAGGAAUGGCACGUGAGUACGCGAGGAAUUCAGGACUGAAAUUGAAAUUAAGCUCAGCUAAGGAUACUGGGCCACAUCCUUACUUUACACAGCUGGGGACAUCUGCACAGACUUGGGAUAACUAGAUCCUGGCACAGCCCUGCAACAUUUCUGACAGUGUUAGUGGUGGUUUCUGAGUGAAGCGGUGCACACUUAUCUUGGCACAGCUUGCAAUUGGUAUGGGUGUGGGCUGUUUAGAAAAGCAAAGUGACUGUCCUCCCGUGGCCUGGGCUGAUCUUCAGGAAUCACAAAGGUGAACUUCUGCAUAAGAGUGGUGAAGAAGAUGAAGAGCUCCAUCCUGGCCAGUUGUUCCCCCAGACAGGCACGUCGACCUGCAAGAAGGAAUUUCCGUGGGAGAGAAUAUUGAAUCACAGUGAAAUCACUGUGGGAUGAGCACCCUUUGUGUGUAGACAAAGGAUGGAGCAAAACACAAUUCAGAAGCUUCCUUGCACUGAAUGGAGAGAAGGAAGAAAGUGGGACUGGUUGUUGACUAUGUGAAAAAGGCUGAGGCACUCACAGCUAUUUAGUUAGCUGGUGCAUCAUGUCUGUCAGGCACAAAGUCACAGAACAGUUGAGGUUGAAAGGGUCCCUGCAGGUCUUACCACCUGCUCAAUUGCAAAGAUGAGGAAAAGGACAACCCUGGACUUCCACUUCCCGGGAGGCACAUCACCACCGUUCCUGCCGUGCACCAGACUUGCAGCUAGACCCUCCCCUUGGAUUUACCUGCAGAGAAGGGCAAGAAGGCCUCUGGUCUCACAAAUUCCCCAUUCUCAUUCAGGAAGUGUUCGGGAUAAAACUCAUUUGGCUUCUUCCAGACUGUCUCAUCCUUCAGCACGGAAGUCAAGUUGGUGAUGAUUGUCGUCCCCUGCACUCGUUCACAAGAGGAAGCAACUUAUAUGAGAACCGCAGAAUUAUCUUGGCAUGAUAGAUCAGUGCUGGUCCCUCUUUAGUCUGUCUCUCCCACCUAAUGCAGUCAUUGUUAGGUGCUUCAAAUAAGGCACCAAGCUCUUCUUCUUGAUCUUACUGAAAACAGAGGUGCAACAUUUGCACACUUCCAGUAACAUGUGUUGCCUGCAAACAGCCUCUGCUUCUCAGAACCCAAGGACUCGUUUUAUAGCUGAAAAGGAAAAGCUAACAGACCUCAAAGCCCAACCUUUGCAUGGGACAUGGAAAACCUCAAAGCUCCUGUUUUAAACAUCGGGGAGUCAUUGUGUGGCUUAAAAAACAUCUCAGGCGUGCCUUACAGCCAGUGCUGCAAGGAGAGGGGGCUCCUGAAAUGCCUCUGCAGUUGGUUCCCGCAUAAGCAGUGUAAACCAGAGCACAAGUGCAACCAUCUGUGUGAUCUUAGUAUUUCAAAUUUCCUAAGUCAGUGUUCUCCACGACUGUGCUUUGGGGCAGGAGGGACAAAGCUGCAGAGUUGUUUGGGGUCACUGCAGGCCUGGCCUCUCCCUGGAGCAAUGAUGCUGCCUUGGCUUUCUGGGCACACACACCUUGGGAAUGAAGAAACCUUGAAGCUCGGUGUCCCGGUAUGUCAUGUGAGGUAGCCCCAUAGGAAUAAUGUCCCCACAGCGUUGUACUUCAUGGAUGACGGCAUUGGUGUAGGGCAUGUUUGCUUGGUCUGCCAUGGUGGGCGGUCGGUUUCUUCCAGUCACCUUAUCAAUCUCUUUGUGAACUUUACCUAAAAGCAGCACAGCUUAGGAAUUAGAGCUUCCUUAAGUAAUCAGAAGGGUCUGGUACAAGAUAUAGGAAAUCUGGCAGCAUGAGCUGAGCAGGCACUGGGUGAGAGCAAGACAGUUACAGAAAGGAGCAGAAUCUAGUGGGAAUACACUUUUUCAGUUGCUCAGAAAGAUCUCUACAACUAUUAAUUGUGCACAGUGCCUUUCAUGAAAUUCUCAUUUGAUAUUCUUACCAUUCCCCUCCUCAAUGUGACUGAAAGAGUACUUGUGGAAUGCAGCAUUUGAGAAUUAAAACAGCUUAGUGUCUAUUCCAAAUACAGGAAGGAGGGUACCAUGGUCACUGAAAGACCCCCAGGAGCCUUCAGUGAGAGGGAACCUGAACAUGGCCUUCCAACUCCAGUCUUUUCAGCAUGUUCCCUACCGGUCUCCCUGAGCUGUGCUACAACAGCUGUGUCUGGGGAUGCUGUGUUUGGGGAGGUGUUUCUCCUGGUUUCUCCCAGAAGAGCAAUUCCCAAAGCUGUUCCUUAUUGCAAAAAGCCCAAAAUAUGCUGAGAUGUGCACUGUCCCUGCAGUGAAAUGAGUGUUCAGAGAAACAUACUACACCUCUACUUGUCGUCUCACUUACUCUGUAUUUCUGGGUACAAAAGCAUGAACAGGAACGCCCAUCGGAGGGUGGUAGAGGUGGUUUGAGAACCUGCUGCAAGCAAGUCUGAUGUCACCAUGCUAAGGUUGCGUUUAUUGAAACCAUUCUCUUCAGCCUCAUUACCCUGCAGAGUGAAAACGAGAAUGUGACAGGAGCAAAGACACUUUGAGUGAGAAGACUUUCUUUCAGAGAAGUACUGAGAAGCAUUUUUGCUGACCAGGAUCCAUUUUUGCUGACCAGGAAUUCACUGGCAGAGUAGAGCACAGCACAAGUGGUGGUCUGUGUAUGACUGAUGUGCUUAAAUCAUGCCAAUACCACUGUAUUCCUGUAUCCUGAGAGGUGAAAGCUAUACCUUUAUAGCGAAUGCCUUGUGCUCUCAACUCAGCAGAACACUGACGCUUACUGUGAGCAGCAGAGAAAAGUGACAAGAAGGAAUUGGAUCAGGCUCAGAUCCACCCCCUUAUAUGCCUGCAAAGCAAUGCAGGCUGAAAAGAUAGCUGCCAGACACUGAGUGGAGAAAGAGUGUGGUAGUUGGGGACAGAAACAGCAGAUUAUAUGAUCUUUGAGGAUAAUCAACAGCAUGGAGAGUUGAACACCUAAUUUCUCAAGAAUGACGUGGAAUGACGAGGUAGGAGAUUUGUAGCAGUCUUUAUAGAACUGUAUAAGUGAAGCCAACUUCUAUCGACAAGUGUAAAGAACAAGAGGAAUUGCCUCAGGUCUGUGAGGUUCUGUUGAUCUCUCUGUACCUUUGCCAUUUCCUUUAAAAAUGCAUCAGUGAAGUCUCGGGUGUAAGCAGGGUUCCAGGUCUCCCUGUGCUUCUCUAUGAGCAUUUCUGUGAAGUCUAUGUAUUCCUUUUGGCUUCGAAAGAUCUUCUGUGGCAGUCCAGGGAUGCGCAACAAUAUGGGCACCACAUGAAGAAGCUGGCAGGCCAGGACCAUACAGAAAGAGACAAGGUUUUAUGCGAUCUAAAAAUGAAUAUAAUGGAAACACAGUACUCUUAAGUGACUGAGGUCAGUGUCUUACAGAACAUAAUAUGCUUCCGUGUUACCUCUGCCAGGAGUCCUACUUCUUCAUUGAGGGAAUUUUCAAACAAAGUUAACAGCUUCUUGAAUGUCUCGUCACCGUACUCAAAACGCUCUCCAUAGGUGAUGGUGCAGAUCACGUUGCUGACUGCAUUAUUUACAAGAAGAUGCAGAUCAAAAGGACGACCUGAAAAUGGAAAUGGAUAUCAAUCAAAGGGGCUAAGCAACAUCAUGCUGUGGUACUGCAGCAGUACUCCAACAACAAGAAUACACACCUACCUCUUUGCUGCUUUCAUGAGAAAAUGCCCCAAAAGUGCUCAAAGUACAAAUAUAUCAUAGUAGGAAUGUAAGAUCUUCUACUAUGGUUCAGCUGGUCAUUGUUUAUAGAAGACAGGUCCUCAAGAAGAGCCAAAUUACAGGAUUGUUCUGUCACAUGACAGAUAGCACCUCAUGAGUCUAAUUAUAGUUGAUGCUGUGUGAAAGCUGUCGGAUUCAUUUUGCAAUAUGUGAUAAUACUGGUAUCAUGAAAUCACAGGCUGCUUCUCCUGGCAGCCUGUUUCAAUGCUUCCCUACUCUCUGAGUAAAGAAUUUCUUCCUCUCCUCUCUUUCAGUUUCAAACCGCUCCCCCUAGUCGUAUCACUAUCAAAUCAUGUUAAAUCUCCUCCCUGAUUGUAAGUUCCCCUCAAAUACUGGAAUGCUGCACUGAGGUUUCCCUGCAGCCUUCUCCUCUGUGGGCUGAACAAACCGUGCUCCCUCAGCCUGUCUUUGUAAGAAAGGAGCUCCAGCCCUCUGAGCGUCCCCAUGGUUUCCUCUGGUCCCACUCCAACAUCUCCAUGUCUUUCUUGUGCUGGGUGCCCCAGCCCUGGAUGCAGUACUCCAGAUGGGGCCACACAAGGACAGAGUACAGGAAGACAACCACCUCCACCAAUGCAUCCGCCAUGUUCCACCCCGUUACACCUAACUUUUCAUGGGUAAUAGUUACCCAACUCUGAAAUUAUUGUAUUUUACCUCUGCUUAUUUUUAUUUAUUUCCUGUUCGAAAUUGAUUAGCCUUACAGUAGCUCCAAUGCAUAAGGUAGAAGUGGCUUUGCAGCACAGCAGGUUCAGUAACCAUUAUUCUGAUGGACUUGAAACAUGGCAUGCAAACAGGAGAAGCUGUAUCACUAAUUGCCUUUUUCUGUUUGGUUGUUUGGGUAUUUUUAUCGGAACAUUUUCUCCAUCCUGCUGCAUGUGACAAACCUCCUUCAGAAUUAACUGCAGAGCACAGAAAUCCUGCUUCCUCAGUCACUCGCUCCUCCAAGGACUUCUUUCCCAUCCCAAAGUUCCUCAGGGUAGUGAGCGUGAAUUUCCUUAGCUCCUUCCAGACAUGUCCAUACCGUGCCAAAACAACCCCUGGAAGUAAAAAUGAUCAAGAAACAUCAGGAGCUCUGAGCUGUACAAUGUGCAGGUUUUGCUAGAAAUGAACAAAUGUGAGUUUGGAGGUUAACAUCGGGGGAAGAAAGAGGAAGAAAAAAAAAAAGUGCAGCAGCUCAGAACAGUGUCAUCCACUAUCUGCAGCAGGGUGCGAUGCACUGCAAUUAGCAAGAUGCAGCUAUUCUGGAGGAACCUGUCCAGAGCACUGCGUGGAUAUUUUGGUGACAUCACGAGGUCAGGAACCUGUUUAGAGAUUUUCAAAGACUGAGCACUCAAGAACCCAUUAUUUCCUGACACUUGUAAUUUCAUUUAAAAACCUAAGCAAUUUUAGGUAGCUUUAAUUUUUGCUAGACAGAAAUACUGAUGAUAUGUAAUGUAAUUCCUUUUUCCACCCAAAGCCCUAUUCCCAGAAGCAUGUUUGGAAAUGGUAGCUCCACACUGGAGUUCCAGGUCAGCUUCCUCCCCAGAGGGAAUGUACUCUUCUAGAAACACAGGAAAGCUUUCAGAGCUGCACCAGAAAGAUGAGCUGCCAGAAGCAUUACUUCCUGACCACUUAUUGCUGUAGAUCUCUGAGCCUUAGGAAGGGUACAACUGAUGACCCAUUCAUGUAGCCUUCCUGCGGGCUUCAAGGAUGCGAUUACUCCAACUCUGAAGAUGUUCUGGGAAAGAUCACACUGCCUACUCUGUCACUCUGAUUAGAUUCAUGGGUGAGAAUGAAUAACUGGAUGCAAAAAAACAGCAACUGAGGGAGAAACACAAGGAGAAUGUAAAGGAGAAGACUGCAUGCUCAGACUGUUGUCUGCAAAGGUGCAGGUAUCUGCAGAGCAGGCUGAGCUGACAAGGAAGCUGUGCCCAGUGCUUGUAGGCUGCACACCAGGGGCUGCUCUGACAUCAGUUCACAAGCUCCUCGUCUCUGCCCUUCACUAGUGGCCCAUUAAAUAAGCAGAAGAUGGUCUGAAGAACCAUCUUGAUUCUGCAAGCACACCACAAAUAACGUAGCACUUCAACAGAGAAUGUAAAGCGUGCAUUUUUCCCUGCUUUUUUUUUUUUUUGCCAAAAUGAUUAUGAACACACUGCAAAUUAAAACAAACAAGCAUGUAAUUUUGGUGGUCUAUAACCCAUGGUAGUCAUUUCCAAAGGCACCAAGUACUCAGCAUUAGAGAACAGAAUUUGUUAUGUUCUUUUCAUGAAUAACACAGUGUCAAGCUCAUUAGUGAUUUUUUCAUGUUUUUAUCUGUGUUUUUUAUGUCAGCAAAAUAAUGGCAAACAUUUAGGAGUAUUUAUCAGUGCAUUGGAAACACAGAAGAUUAUUGUGCUUUACGACCACAGCAAAAACAGGUUGUUUGUGUUUGAUGCCUCCAGUGAUGAUGUUUAUGCUUCACAGAUCCAAAUACGCACUGGAAAUCAGAAUGUAUAUUUAUUUAUCAACAGGAAAACCAUGAAUAACUGUUUGGGUGUGAAACAUUGGCUCAGCAAUGCUCACAGUUGGAUUAAUACCUGUGGGAGCAUGUGGAGUGAAAGGGGAAUUAGAAAUGAUGAAAAUGCAUGGAAUUUCUUAACAGGAAUUGUUCAGCAAAUUGCAUGUUGGAAUUCCAUUCCGGAUGAGCUGGUUACUUACACCUCAGCAGCUCUGGCAGCAGCAUCUGUGCAUCUCCAGCCUCAGGUCAGAGCACUUGGGCAGGUAAAACAAAUGUUUGGGCAUUAAUAGCACUGUAGGAGAUGCUGGCUUACUUGAAACACUAGAAUUUGGAGAUUUUGAAAACCAUGCUCCAUCCAGAGAUGACAAAUAUUAGUCCUUGCACCUAUUAAGUACCAGCGCAGCUGUGUGUUUGCUAACUCCUUCCAGGAGCUUUCCACUGCAUUGCUUAGAGAUAAGGCACACUGGGUCAUAUCCAGGAAAAUGGAUAUCCUCAGGCACGUCCUUAAUUGCUUUGUACUUGUUAUUGCUUAUACCAAAGUCCAAAGUACCAAAUAUCGGGUUUGCUGGAAAGCAGGAAAAAGUGGGGGUUGCUCAGAAACUGGACAUGGCAGUGGGCACCCUGCUCUUGGUGGCCCUGUGGGGGCAGGGGUUGGAGCAGAUGGACCCAGAGGUCCCAGCCCACCUCAGACAUCCUGUGGUUCUGUGCAGUCCACUUUGAUAACUUUCCACUGAAGGCUUUAUGCAGGCCAUGGUCUGUGCUGACUCCUGUCUGCAGGAGGGAAUAAGGUGCAGUUUGGGGUUCAGAGUAACCUCCCACUGCUGCUUGAACAGCUCUGCCUGCACUGGAUGGUGGCACUCAGGCUGUGAAGAUGUGUCGCAGUUCAGGAUUAAAACCGUGCUGAAUAUUUUCAAGAAUCUGUGCCGUCUGGCUGCCCUGAUGUGCCACGUGUAGAGCAAACGAAGGCAAUGACAGAGCUUUUAUUUGAGAAAUAGGUGCUAUAGGUAAAGCUAUCCGAGAGGAAUUAACUCACCCCUCCCGGUAACAGUUUGUACAAAAGGAGGAGCUGAGGGAUGUGACCCUCCCCCAUUUGUACCACUGCACUGCAACACAGAAGGGUGGGGGGAGAAGGGGUCUCUCCAAGUCAAAUGGCAACAGGAUGAGAGAACAGUCACAAGCUGCGUGGACCUCUAGGUCUUGUGAAGCAAAGGAGAUAAUGGAGAUUUUCCUCAGUGUGGGGGGGGAGGUGGGGAGGAGGAAGGGAAAGAACAAUUCCAGAACAAUUCCAGAACUCCAGACUGAAUACUACUGAGUACUGAGAAUAGCUGAACAGCUGAUAGGCCAAAAACCCAAUGACUGAAGUUGCUGAAGCAUUACCACAUUUGUGUAGCCAGCAGUCACCAGGGAUGGUGAGUGCUGGUGAGCUUGGAGGUGCAGGGAAUUUAAGGGUGGGAGGGAGAGCUGGGAAACGUGAGCUCCUGUGUCUCAAACCCUUUGGGCUACAGCUCCAGAAUACAUCAUCUGAGUACCUCAGAAGUGAAUUCUGAACAAUAGGAUAAGACGGCUGCAAGCAACACAGGUGUGCAGUGAACAGAUUACCUGGAAGUAAUGGAAGAUUGGGAAAUGCAGCAAUGGAGCCCCUGGAGGACUCCACUGUCAGUGGAAAGGAUAAUAAUGACUCAGUCUGCUUACACCUUUUGGGAACUCUUCAAAGCUUUUUGAGUCACAGUCUCCUGGGAUUUUCCAAAUUCCCAGGAAUACCUGUGUUCUCUGACAAAUGAAGCAGUAUGAGCCAUGAAAGCGGAGGUGCAACUCAAAUCCCAACAGUCAGUGCACCAAGGAGAACAAAGGGAAAUAUGAGAGCUGAUUGCUUCUCUCCUCCUUAAGGCGCCCUGUGCUGUACAGCUACUCGAAGCUUAUUUCAAGGCCUGGUGCUCAGGAUGGAGUGAGUUGUAGGUAGAGACUUCUGACUGCAAGGAAGAGUUUUUUCUUGCACGGUCGCAGGCUGUUUCCUCGUGUGGAGGCACAGUGCCUUGUGGGAAACCUGGAAUGGUAGCAUUCAAGUUGUCCACGUGUCUCCUGUGCGUUCUGAGUUACAUUUUAACCCAUAUAAAUAGACACUUAGCAUCCACACAGGCUGGUCAGUGAGCAAAAACAUUACUCAAUUUUCCCCAGCUGUUGAACACCUAAGCUGAUACAUUUACAGAUGGAGGUAUAAGCUUACACAUCAGGAGUUCAUGUAUUCUUAAAGAGUGAAGCUGUAUUUCCUUGACGCACUUAGUGAAGAAAGAGGAAGGUCAGAGGGCUGUUGCAAAUUGCUAGAUGAAGACGCUGCUCAGAACAGCCCAGCUGUUCCUUUGCUUUGCAUCUGAAGGACUAUAAAAGAAAGCUCUCCCAGGUAUUUCAUUAAGCACUUGACUACAGCUUAGGAAUAGUUUUUGUUUGCUCUUGGUUUUGAUCAGCUACUCUCAGAUCCCAAGCAACUCCAACAAAUGCUGAAAAGAAUUAAGGGGCAAAUCUCUCUUUCUCCAGAAUUGGUAUUUAGAGUCUCUCUCUCCAGCACAAUCAGCCCUUUUAAUAAGCUUAUAUGAAGCUCGAGAAACCCAACACUUUUCACCGGAACAGCACAUGGAUUCCGUGGCUCCACAGAGGCACACAUUCUUUUGGUUUUCCUGUGCCUACCUCAGUGCCCCAUUGCACAGCUCAGCACAGACCUUGACCUCAGCAGAUGUGGAAGCAGCCUUCCUUUUCUGCACUGAUUGUGGGCUGCUAUAAACUUGUUUCGUAAGAGCAAGAUAACGUAUCUGUGCUCUGAGAAGAACAAACAAACUUGGAUAAUCCAGACAGCAGAGCCUUUUUAAGAAAAGCAAAAUCCAUCCUCUGUUUGGAAUUACCGUUUGGAUGGGAAAUGACUGACUCGCAUUGAAGAGUUUAUUGGGGCCUGUUGUGUAAUAAAGCAAACAGCGCAGAAUGAAGUUGGCACAGAGCCUACGUGAGCACUUCUCUCAAAGUUAACAGAUGGACCUUCAAACCCCAGAGGCAGCCUGCAGGAACCCAGGCCUCCACGUGCCCCUCCAGUGCUUAGAAACUUGAUGUUUCUAACCCGGUCUUUCGUACUUGUAAUAAGGAAUGCUUAUUUAUCUACUGUAGCGGCACCUUUUUCAAGUCUUUUUGGAUCUUGUGACAACACGCUGCUCUUGCUUUCAGUAAAGUGAGUUCUGUAGCAGCAACAGUAGGCCGUGGUGACAGCAGCCAUCAGUGCCCUUUUCAAGACUGCAGCUGCAGUCUCACAACUGCGGGAGCUGGUUCCUCUCCCAGUGUGUCUUCUUAUCCAAUGAAGCCAGGAACGUUGCACAGUUGGAGGAGAACCAUAUACAGCCCUGGCAAACAGGUUAGAGUAUGCAAAAUGGGUUCAUUCCGUUUGCCCUCUGCUCCUGCUUACUGGACAUGCCUCCAUCAGCCGUACUUAUUUUCCUGCUGAGUGCAGCUCUCCGGAUUCUUUUCCAAAUGGUUGGUUAUGGUUUUGCCAUUCAUCACCUGGACACUUGGCAGUUUCUCCUCAGAAGUUUUAGCAAAACAAGGCACCCGCUGAGCAGCCAGACUCUAACACCCUUUUCAUACAGCCACGUCCUUACCUCAGCUCCAUGCAGCCAAGACAUUACACAAAGAUGGAUUAUGUUAAACUGUAGUUUCUUUCUCCUUGUACACAGUCUUGACUCAUUUUUAGACCCGUUUCCACUUGCAGUUCCUAGUUUCCUCAUAGAACACUUGAAAAACAGAUUUAGUCUGCUUUCCCAUAUUUCUUCUUGCUGACUACGAAUGGAAGGACAGUCACAUGACCAGAGUCAGCUUAAUAUAAUAACUUUCAUGGUAAUGCCAAUGGAUGCACCAAAACAUCCUCAAAAUAACCUCUUUUGUGUAAGAAUCAAGUGAUGGCACCACUCUAGAGACAGAAAUAUAUUCCUGGUGAUGGAAGUCCAAUUCUGUUUCCCUACUAUGAAUGCUAUAAAGUGUACAUAAGGGCUUAUCCAUUUUUUAAUAAAACCACUCAGUGUGGUGACACUUCUUUGAUCAAUUAGUGUCAGCCCAGGGGAAUCGAUUUGCUAUGUAGUGCACACAUAUAACGCUGUACUUCUCUCUAGCAUAAUGACUCCCAGCUCCCUCUCAGAUAUCUUGGACAUUUUUGCUGCUCCCCCCUGAAAGAUGUGAGACUGAAGUCAUUUCAAUACAGUUCAGUUCAAUACAGACAGAACCACUGUCAUGGUAUGUCUCACAGCCAGGAGCACAGAUCCUCACGCCCUGUGAUCUCGAGGUUUGGUUAUUAGCAGGUAUAGUUACAAGCCAAAAGCCAGUGAUGGACUGCAUGCAGCACUGGCAGAUAAACUGCAUAUAUUCAUGUACAGUACAGGAGUAAGUGCGUAUGGGUUUUGUCAAGCAGAUGAGUAUGUCACCAGUUUGAGUCCUGAUCCCCCAGCUAAAGUGGAAGAUUUCCAUCACAGGAGGUUUGCUAUGGGCUGAAGAGUACUUCUUUCUUCUUAAUAAUUUUCUCUAUGGCUGUGGAGCAGCAUUAGCAUUUCUGAAGGCCAAAAUCUUGAAACCACAGCAGUGAAACUGAGUUAAGCAAUGAACUACAAGAAACCUCUCCAGAUGAAAGAAGAAAGGGAAGCAAUCUCAGCUCUGAACAUGGCCUCAUGAAAGAAGUGAGCAGACAAGCAGUGCUUCCCUUCAGUUCAGGCCCCUUUCGGUGGAAGUGCAAACUGGCAUAUUGGUUCCACUUAAGAAAUGAAAUCCCACAAAAAGACCAAGUAGCCACCUGGUACAUUUUCAGUAGGACAGCAAAGUGUAACUUUUGCAUCUGACCAAAUCUACAGGCAGAGAAAUAAAUAAACAUCUGUGUACAACUGCACUGUCUACAACUGUUCCACUGAUCUUUAGACUGUAAGCAGAAUCUCAUCACUAUGGAAACGAUUCUUCAGUGAUGCGUAUCAGUCAAACUGGCACAGAAAGUGCUUAUGAGCUGCUGGUCUCCUGCAACAUUCCAGGAGUUACUUCUGUCUUCUGCUUAGCUGGCUGAAUUACCUUGUUUGCAGCACGCUGUAGUAGCUCUCAAACAAAACCAAACCCAAGAUGUUUGUUACAAGUUCACUACCGCAGACCAAUAAGAAUUUCACCUUGUUCCACAAUAUAGAGAAUUCUAACCCAACCCUCAGGUUGCAACACUUUCAGCUUCUCACAGGAAGGUCAGCAGAACCUCAAAGAAUUAACCACACCCUGGUAUUUACUAGACCUAUAACUAAACCUGGAUUACCCGUACACCUGCUUUUUUCACAAAACUUUUAAUUGUUAAUAAUAGUAAAAUUCAGACCAAUUAUAAUUGAUCCAUUUAUCCUCAACCACGCAGCCAGCCUGUAGAUCUGAAGAUCUGGUAUCUGCAUUCAGCUUUCUAUACUUUUAGAUGGAGGCUUGCUUUUCUGUCCAGUCUGGUAAGCUGGCACGAAGAUCAGACAAACCGCCCCUGUGCCCCGCUAAGCAGGUACUUCGCUGUGCCCAAGACAACCACUGCACUCAGGAUACCAUAUGCAAUUACUGCCUAACCUGAAAAACAAAGUGAAACCAGUAAUAUGCAGGAAGGUUCCAUUGCCUUGGUCUGCCAACGCUCUCCUCACAUUCUGGGGAACAUAUUCAGCAGCCUACCACAGCAGCAGCACCCAGAGCUCUGGGUUUGUGGACUAAAAUCGGACACAAGUACAAUGGUAAGUAGUUCAUGAAAGCAAAUCCAAGUAACAACAACCAGCACAACAUGACAGAGCCCAGCUAGAGAGGAGUCCACAAGGGCAGAGCUACCCACACCCAAUUCAGCUCUUUCAAACUUCCAGCAGUGGGAAAGGAGCUUGCUCACCUCAUGUUCAGUCCUCUUCCUGACUCUGAAAACUGCAAGGUGGCCAAGCAUGAUCAAAUACAAUGACAGCUCUGGGACACCACACCAUCCCUUAGGAUUUGGACCCAAAUAUUUUCAUACAGGUCACCACACUGCCACCCAGACAGUAUUCAGUGAAAAUGACUCAGAUAAUGAAAUUGGUACUGAUACUACAUGAUCAGCCACACGAAUCUAGGUCUUGACACAGCUGGAUUUCAUCAGCAAAAGGCAGAGCUACAGUUAAGCUAACUGCGGGUGAAGUGAUAUUUAUUCAUUUAGUUAGUUAGUAGUUGUUCUAAUGGCAAAGUUGUGGAGGCAAAAGUUCAUGGACAAAUGAUGCUUAUGUCGUCUUUCAAGACAUGCAUGGGAAUGUCCAAGCACUUGGCGUACUCACUCUCCCUGUCAUGAAAUUCUGAGCUGAGAGAAUGAACUCCAGGAGUUCAGGAAGGUGGUAGAGAUGUAGUUCAAAAGAGGAACUUCAGAUAAAAUUAAAAUUUAAUUUCACUGAGCCACAGUUCUCAUUCUUAAUGUGCACUGUCGAAAAAGCAAAGCUUGAAAUAAUGAAUUCCUUUCUUCCCUUCUCCCAUAGCACAAGUGAGGCCCAGCGGCAGCUGAUUUAUUUAGAAAGGUUAACACUUUGAUGCAGCUUGUAUAAAACCCUCCUUACCAGUCAGUGAGCUUUGGAUGAAAAAAAAAAAAGCUGACAAUGUAAGUGACACAUACAAAAAGCAGCUAAUAGCAUUAGAGGUGUGCUUGUGAGUAAAGUAACAUCCAUGUUUAUGUAUAGCUGGCAAUUACCCACGAGCUCAAAUGUGAUGCAGAAAUCAAUGCCCUUCUGAUUAUCAGUAUACCAAUUAGAUUACAACCCAGCAAGCCUACCUCUUGGCUGAUAACACUCCCUCAUACAGUGGAGAAGGUCAAGCAAUUGCAUGUGAAAACCAGACAGGCAAGCCAUGGAGUUGGAACUCAGGAGGAAAGGAGGGAGGUUCAGGCAGCUGACCUUUGUGGAGUUCAUUACUGUGCAACUGUAAGUCUGCACUGAAGGAGUGUCAAGGCCGCAGUGCUGUCUCUGGCUGCCAUACAAGGGCUGCUUGCCCAUGCCUGGAAUCAAUCCAGAGCAUUAGGCACCGGCUCAGGGAGAAAUCAGGCUCACCACACAGAGCCCCUCCCCGUUCCUGGACAGGUUCCAGAGCACCAGACCCUCUCCAACAGUCACUCUCCAGAUCUGGAUGUGAUCCAAAUGUUCUAGAGGCAACUGGCUCAGGGAGAAAGAAGCAACAAUCAGAGACAGAAUACACUGACUUGCCUGGAUGUUAUCCAAUACGCAUGAUUUUUCCUAACUUGCUGGGCCUAGGAGUGAACCAAGACAAAGUAGCCCAAUAAUCUAACAGCUGACUGCCCCUUUUAUCUCUACAGCAAGGUCAGUGGAAUGGCAGCUGCUCUUCUACCAGGAGUGCUCCUCUAAACUUUGUUAAUUGCCGUCGUAAUAACAGCAAAUCUUUUUUUAAGAACUGUAUCUCUUGGAUUUGCAUGGUUUUUGCUUUGGGAUACAAGGUCAGGCUGCAUAAACGAACCUCUAAGACAUUCUCAGCCCCCCAGGGAGGAGGUUAAACAGGACCUUUAGGUAAGAACUACUUGAGGCCAAAGUAGAAUCAGGAAGAAAUGAUGCCUUAGAGAGAUGUCUAAACCACGCAGUGAACAUAGUGCUGAGAUUCCACAGCUUGCAAGGUCUUAAGCCAAUAAUUCCUAUGAUCUACAAAAAAAAAAUGAAGGAAAAUGAUGUGGAAGACAAAGCUGCACAAAGGUCUCUGCAACACAUUAAUAUUCAUUAGCUCCUUAAAAACCUACCUUCAAAAAUCAUCACGGAGAAGGCAAUUUCUGUCUUCUGCUACUACACAGAAGAACCAGAAUUCUCUAGUUAAUCCCUCAUCCUUCACAGAAAACAACACUAAAAGCUCUUUCCAGUUAUUUAAUUGGAGAAACAAGAUUAUGAAGUGACAAAGGUGAUUUGGAAGCAGUAAAAUGGUGGUGAGGGAAAGGGAUUGUUAAAAUCAGGCUAGACGGCAGACAUGAAACAGCAACUACACCUGUAGUGCUGCAACAAAAAGACAGACAUGGCCAGCUAAGCAAGAAAUGCACCUGGAGCACUGAAAUGAAGUCAGAAGAUUUUUUGGAACUAGAGUUUAUGGGAAAAUAUGCCAAGAGGAACUAAUUUGAAAUCAUUAUUUCAUCUAGACCUCCCUGUUGCCACCACACGGCAACGUACUUGAUGGAAAUAAGAAAUCCCAUCCUCAUCAUACCCGCUCUAAUUCCCACCUCUGUGCUACUCCCUUCUCACUCCAGACAUACAGCAAAUCAGAUUAAGAAAAGGAUUCAAACUGAUACACUAAUAUGGCAAAACACAAUUUUCAGACGUCAAAUAUCUGACCAAGUUCACACGUGGCCUCCUGAAGACUUGGGUGAGAGCAAGCACAUCCAACCAACUCACGGCCAAUGGGCUGCACGUGGCCACCUCCUGCCCCGCACUAUAAAGGUGGCAGCUCUUCCCUGCCCCAGGCACAUCCCCCAUUGCUCUGCAGCAACCAAACUGUCAGAACGUUAUUAAGGCUGUGUCAACCAAAAGCAGGGCACAGGAAGGGCAGUGCUGUGCAGUGUUGGCUCAACAGCAAAUACCAGUAUGCAUUUGGAUAUACUGGCUAAACACAGGGCUCCAAACAGUGAAGAAUACACGGCUGAGCUUUUCAUUUUGAUACAGGAAUUUGAAAACAGGUUUCAAGAUUGCAAAAAAAAAGAAGUUUGCAACAUUAUUUUGAGUUGAUCUAAAUACAUUACCUGCAAAUUUUCAAACAGAAUGUAUACAGUUGCAAUCAGAUAUUCAACUCCAGAAUCUGAUUGUGUCUUUUCACCAGACCUUCAUAAUCCCUCUCUUACCAGAGAGAAAUAUCCUUCGCUUCACAAUCACACCGUAUUCAUGUCAUCACUUGUUGGCAGUACACACAUUCUGAACAACUACUGUCAAGGAUGAACUAGAGGAAGUGUAAAAUUUCUUCAAAAAAUCUCUGAUGAGUACCUUGAGACCUCACUAUGAAUUGCAACCACUGCCAUCGAAGCAGGGCGAUGCAUUCAUUUCACAAAGUCACAUAUCCCAUUAGUUUUAUGUUUUUGUUCCUCUCUUUUUGAAAUUGCUUUAAGAAAAAUAUUAAAAAUUGUUU